This 685-nucleotide long non-coding RNA is filed under the name Fukomys damarensis (Damara mole-rat). RNAcentral's name for it is "lncRNA (ENSFDAG00000030109.1)". The record is from RNAcentral. Lineage: Eukaryota; Metazoa; Chordata; Mammalia; Rodentia; Bathyergidae.
UCAGCCAAACCGAAGCUUGAAAAACAGCUCCAAGAGGAAUGGGCUUCCUCGGCAACAGCCACCACGCAUGCAGAAGGUCCAUCAAAUGUACCUUGGCAGCGGAACACAGGGCUCUGCGGGCAGGGACCUCACUGUUCUCCAGCACCCUGCUCACAGGGUUUAUGGAGUAGACACUCAGGAGCCAGGUCAGGCAGGCUGCUGUCUUCAGAGGCUCAGGCACAGAGAGAGCCAUCCCAGUGCCUGAAAGAGCCAGCUCCAUCUCUUGCAACAUCAAGGCCCAGAACUCCCCGUGUUGAGCUCCAGCCCUCCAAACUAACUGUCCACCGAACAGCUCUCCUGGGACGUUCCUGUUGUGCCUCAAAUUCAACGCACCAGAACUGUAUUCCUUGGUCCACCUCUGUGGCAGCUAUGGAUUGGCUUAUUGCCAUCCAGCAUCUGUUUGCCCCGGGACUGAAGAGGUAUAGGUGUGAUGAGGAACUGUACCUCUCAGUUGGACCCUGUAUACUGAAGUGUCCCCCGCCAGACUCUUUCCUGGUAGAUUUGAAACUAAGGGGCCACAAAGACAACAUCCUGCCCACGCUGAGGCUGAAAUACCCUGUGCACUUGCACUGUACAUGCAUGAAGCUCUCCCCAUCCUAAUAAAAAAGAGACAAGUCAGGCCCUAUUAUUCUCCAAUCUGAAACUG